Molecule: ribosomal RNA, 672 nt
Filed under: uncultured prokaryote
Description: bacterial SSU rRNA
Rfam family: Bacterial small subunit ribosomal RNA
Source: RNAcentral
CACGCNGUAAACGAUGAAUGCUAGCUGUUAGCGAUAUACUGUUAGCGGCACAGAGAAAUCGUUAAGCAUUCCACCUGGGGAGUACGCCGGCANCGGUGAAACUCAAAGGAAUUGACGGGGGCCCGCACAAGCGGAGGAACAUGUGGUUUAAUUCGAUGAUACGCGAGGAACCUUACCUGGGCUUAAAUUGCAGUGGAAUAACGUGGAAACAUGUUAGCCUUCGGGCCGCUGUGAAGGUGCUGCAUGGUUGUCGUCAGCUCGUGCCGUGAGGUGUCGGCUUAAGUGCCAUAACGAGCGCAACCCUCAUCGAUAGUUACUAACAGGUUAAGCUGAGGACUCUAUCGAGACUGCCGACGUAAGUCGUGAGGAAGGUGGGGAUGACGUCAAAUCAGCACGGCCCUUACGUCCAGGGCUACACACGUGUUACAAUGGGGGGUACAAAGGGCAGCUACCUGGCGACAGGAUGCUAAUCUCAAAAACCUCUCUCAGUUCGGAUUGGAGUCUGCAACCCGACUCCAUGAAGCUGGAUUCGCUAGUAAUCGCGCAUCAGCCACGGCGCGGUGAAUACGUUCCCGGGCCUUGUACACACCGCCCGUCAAGCCAUGGGAGCCGGGGGGACCUGAAGUAUGCAACCGUAAGGAGCGUCCUAGGGUAAAACUGGUGACUGGGGCU